This 253-nucleotide ribosomal RNA is filed under the name uncultured bacterium. RNAcentral describes it as "partial 16S ribosomal RNA". It matches the Rfam family "Bacterial small subunit ribosomal RNA", at positions 524 to 776 of the family's 1533-position model. The record is from RNAcentral.
UACGGAGGGGACUAGCGUUGUUCGGAAUUACUGGGCGUAAAGCGCACGUAGGCGGAUUGUUAAGUCAGGGGUGAAAUCCCGAGGCUCAACCUCGGAACUGCCUUUGAUACUGGCAAUCUCGAGUCCGGAAGAGGUGAGUGGAAUUCCUAGUGUAGAGGUGAAAUUCGUAGAUAUUAGGAAGAACACCAGUGGCGAAGGCGGCCAACUGGCCCGAUACUGACGCUCAUGUGCGAAAGCGUGGGGAGCAAACAGG